CGUUACAGCAUAAAACGUAUCCUUAUGAUCGUACUUAUCUGUACUGGUCAAAGGUUGGCUUCCGCUACACGUGAAUCGAAAUCCAAUGAGAUUCAAGCAAAACUCUGAGGUUUAUUCUUUCUUAUGAUGAAAAGAGUGUAGGCGAAAACAAUAGGCGUCUAUAGAGCUAUACGAAAAGGAGUUGCCAUGGAGACAUUUACAAAAUCGCUUCGUACACACGCGAAGCAGUUGGGCUCAAAGAGCAAAAAUAAAUGUUACAGAGAAUUUGUAUUUUUCGUACUACGUUACUUAAUUUAGUUACUCUGCUUAUCCAUUGGACAUUAUACAUAUUUCUUUGUACCGUACGACUGUGUCAUAAUCUCAAAGGUGUUUUCACGAAGGCAUGGGUUUGAAUUAUUUUUUCAAUAUUUGCCUACAAACGCAGUUCAGUUUUUUGUUUUCGUUUCUAAUAGAAAAUUGGCAAAAUGAAUAACCAGGCAAUACUGGGUUUGUCUUCUAUUAUUAUAAUAAAAACUUUGAUCAUUGGUGAGAUAUAGUGUUGUUCUGUACUGUGCGUGACAUCUGAUCCGUCAGGUGACAGAUACGCUAUUGUUUGCAGAUUGAAAAUGGAAAGGAAAGAAAAAAAAACCAAGCCAACACACAAAAUAAAGCUAUGAAGAAAAUAUUUUUCAUCUAGAUCUAUUGGCACUGAAAAUAAAAAACAGAACCAUUUGAUGUUCCACCGACUUUUCAUUCUCUGUCACAUGUAAAGGAAAAUAUCCACAGUUUCAGAUACUCUGUUGAUGGAAGGAACUGAACCUCUAUAAAAUGGCAACUCCUCAAGAGGGGGCACAAUGUAUGUCCUGGUUUAUUGAGACAGAAUCAGAUGUACAGACUCAACGGAACUUCAGGACAAAGUAUGGAAGAGAUCCACCAUUGUGACCUUCAGUCUGUGCAUGGCACAAAAAAAUUAUGGAGACAGAGACAGUGUUGGAUAAAGGGAGGAGCGGGCAACCAAGAAGAUUUGAGGAAAACAUCUAUUGCAUUUCAAACAUCUUCACUCAUUCACCUACAAAGUUCAUCUGCACUGCUGCCAGACAGUUGCAACUACCAUGUUCAGCUGUGCAUAAGGUCCUUCACAAGAACUUACAGUUGUACACUUACAGCCACUUGAGCCAAAAGACAAGCCAAAACGGACAGAGUUUGUGCUCAACAUGCUGGAAUGCCUUUCGGAGGAUGAAGCAUUCCUCAAGCAAGUUUGUUUCAGUGAUGAGGCAACUUUUCAUAUUUCUGGGACAUUAAACAGACACAAUGUGUGAACCUGGGGAUCUGAAAACCCCCAUAUGACUAGAGAGCUUCACCGGGAUAGUCCAUUUUUCUUCAACGAGUCAACAAUUACUGCAGAUGUUUACCUCGACCUUCUGACUGAAUAUGUGGCACCACAAUUGAUUGACUUACAACCAACUAUCAUUUUCCAACAAGAUGGUGCACCACCACAUUGGGGACUGCAUGUUUGUCGGUUCCUCAAUGAAACAUUUCUAGGCAGAUGGAUUGGGAGGGAUGGGCCAUUUCCUUGGCCACCACAUUCACCACAUAUCACUCCCUUGGACUUGUUUUUAUGGGAGAAUGUAAAAGAUAUCAUGUAUCAAACACAGAUACAGGACAUUGCUGACUUGAAGCAAAGGAUUCGUAAUGCCAUUGCCACCAUUGAUGAUGCUAUGCUACAACGAACAUGGCAAGAAAUAGAGUACUGUCUUGAUGUGCUUCAUGCAACUAAAGGUGCCCAUAUAGAAAUCUAUUAAACACUAAAAAAAAACAACUUUUGCAAACACUGAUUACAAGAAAAGAAAUGUUGUUAAAAUAUUUCAACAACUGCCAUUGUAAUAAAAUUUUGAAGUUGUAGAGGGACUUUAUGAACACCCUGUAUAACAAUUAUUAUAUAAAUGGAAAAAAUGUAUUUGGCAAAGUUCCACACAGGUUCUAGAAAACUUAAUAAAUGUUUGUAAUCAUGAAUUUGCGGGGCGUGAGUUGUACUUGGGUAGCUCAGAUGGUAGAGCACUUGCCCACGAAAGGCAAAGGUCCUGAAUUCGAGUCUCGGACCAGCACACAGUUUUAAUCUGCCAGGAAGGUUCAUAUCAGCGCACACUCGGCGGCAGAGUGAAAAUCUCAUUCUAUGAAUUAAACACUUUACAAAUGAAAGUAAGUUCAGACACUGACAACCAGCUGGUAUCACAGGUUUCUUUAGUUGAAAGAAAUUCCAUCAGGUCUUGAUUUAUUACAAUUUGGAGCAAUCAGUGCCAGUUAGAUAUUUUGUUGCCUUGUGUCACAACUUUCCUCAAACUAAAAAGGGUAGAAGAAAUGUUCACAGGUUUGUGCAACCCAUGGGAGAGCAUGACAAGGCUACAGAAAACCUAACCUGCCUAACAGUUACAGAUAGAUGCAAACUGUCCUGUCAAAGUAUAGUUAUAAAGUUUCAAGAAACAACUGUAAUUGCGGAAUCUAGGAAUAUACUAAAACCUGUAAUGUAUUGCUCCAAUAAGGUCCACAAAAGCAAGGUAAUACUAGAUACGGAGCACAUGCAUUCCAUGUAAAAGGAAGAAGCCCUAAUUUCUGGUACAAUAGGAAGUACUCUCAUCAUGCGCUGCUGGCUUGGAGAUGCAGCUGUCACUGUAAAUAGCAGUUUUAUUCCAACAUCACUUGAUGUUGAUAUUUGAGAAGCAAGUGGACCAUGCCGGCUCAGUCGAAUGUUUGGCUCUUUUAUUAGUCUGGUUUACUGGCAUCUCAAUAGUUGGUGUGAAUGUAGCGUAGUAUCUCUGGAUAUACCUCUGCUGUGCUGAUGUGAAAAACAAGCCCUGUGUGCUCGCUGAGAGUUAAAGAGAGCUGAGUCCUGGAGUACAACACUGCCCGUUGGUGGUGAGUGCUUUGAAAAACAAGACAUGCAUGCUGAUAGAGACAAUUUGUGACUUGGAUGAAUCAUUGCUUUUACAGGUGUCGGGAGUCUUCUGUGAUUGUAUCAGAUUGAUGUAGUUGCGGAUUUGGCCCUCAUUUCAUUGGCUGAAAUUUUUAGUGUUUGGACUGGACAGCAUUUCCUGUGCAAUGAGAGCCAUACAUAGACAUGGAAUCUUGAGGUCAUUUGGGACUGUCGUAUUUAAGGAGGGAACAUCUCAAGUGAGAGUUGAGAAUACGGCAUAUUCCUGUGGAAGGGGCCAUUGCUGACCUGUUGGCCAAAUUACACACUUUGUUGGACAGGCCUCUUUACAUCUUGUUGUACACCAUUGGUGAGGUGCUAUUGUGCAAAGGUGAAGACUUUGAUGUAUUUCUUGAUGGCUAAAAGAUUAUGCUAAACACCAUCAGCUAUAGAGGUAAGGCUUAUGCACCCUUUAAGACACUGAUUGUAUUAACAGCUAUUUGCUGGAUCUGUAUUGGUAAGGCCUUACAUUUAAAGUAUGUUUUCUGGACUUUGAUUUGUUCACAAUGUUUUGUGUGCUUUGUGUGUUUAUACUGAGUGUCUAAAGAUCAAGUUGAGUUUUAUCAGGCUUUCUCUUUCCCACUGAGACUAUUGUUUUAAUGCCUGCCUGUAUAUGUAGACUUCAUGUUUUCGGGUUGAUGUGAGCUUUAAAUUAGAUCAGCUAUACUUAUUUCAUUUCUGACUACUAGUGAACCUUAUUGUACAAGUUUCCUAUGGCAACGUCUUGCAUGAAGAAUUUUCCCUUGAUCUGAAGGUUAUUUUUAAAGUCCUGAUUUAUAGUAAUUAAUGUUUUAACAUAAUGCUACCUUGUGUCAUGUAAAUAUUGUUUGAUUUUUGAAGAAAAUUUGUAUUGUUCCACUUCUUCAAUUUAGAUUGUUUGCUAAGGCUAUUUGUGUCUGCCUACCUUAAUGCCAACAUUUUCUGUUGAUGGCUUGGGGAAUAUGUUUUACAGAAAUCUUUUAUUUAACUGUCAUUAAAUAUCAACUGUAAAGUUGCACCCUUUUUUAAAUAAAAAAAAAGAUUCAAUUA
Schistocerca cancellata (South American locust) is the source of this 3976-nucleotide long non-coding RNA. RefSeq lists it as uncharacterized. The record is from RefSeq and is a predicted model, not a curated record. Lineage: Eukaryota; Metazoa; Arthropoda; Insecta; Orthoptera; Acrididae. The transcript is spliced from 5 exons.